GCGUAAGCGCACGCAGGCGGUCUGUCAAGUCGGAUGUGAAAUCCCCGGGCUCAACCUGGGAACUGCAUUCGAAACUGGCAGGCUAGAGUCUUGUAGAGGGGGGUAGAAUUCCAGGUGUAGCGGUGAAAUGCGUAGAGAUCUGGAGGAAUACCGGUGGCGAAGGCGGCCCCCUGGACAAAGACUGACGCUCAGGUGCGAAAGCGUGGGGAGCAAACAGGAUUAGAUACCCUGGUAGUCCACGCCGUAAACGAUGUCGACUUGGAGGUUGUGCCCUUGAGGCGUGGCUUCCGGAGCUAACGCGUUAAGUCGACCGCCUGGGGAGUACGGCCGCAAGGUUAAAACUCAAAUGAAUUGACGGGGGCCCGCACAAGCGGUGGAGCAUGUGGUUUAAUUCGAUGCAACGCGAAGAACCUUACCUACUCUUGACAUCCAGAGAACUUUCCAGAGAUGCAUUGGUGCCUUCGGGAACUCUGAGACAGGUGCUGCAUGGCUGUCGUCAGCUCGUGUUGUGAAAUGUUGGGUUAAGUCCCGCAACGAGCGCAACCCUUAUCCUUUGUUGCCAGCGGUUAGGCCGGGAACUCACAGGAGACU
Molecule: ribosomal RNA, 591 nt
Filed under: Klebsiella aerogenes
Lineage: Bacteria; Pseudomonadati; Pseudomonadota; Gammaproteobacteria; Enterobacterales; Enterobacteriaceae
Description: bacterial SSU rRNA
Rfam family: Bacterial small subunit ribosomal RNA
Source: RNAcentral